UUCUAUUCCAGGGAAGAAGCUUAUUUCACUAUGGUGAAUUAGCCUUUUGAUGUGUUGCUAGAUUCAGUUUGCAAGUAUUUUGUUGUGGAUCAUUGAAUGGAUGUUCAUCAAGGAUACUGGCCUGAAGUUUUCUUUUUUUGUUUUGUCACUGCCAGGCUUUGGUAUCAGGAUGAUUCUGGCCUCAUAGAACAAGAUGGGGAAGAGUCCCUCCUCCUCUAUUUCUUGAAAUAGUUUCAGUAGGACUGGUACUGGCUCUUCUUUGUACAUCUGUUAAAAUUUGUUAAUCUAUCAGGUCCUGGGCUUUUUGGGGGUUGGUAGGCUAUUUAUUACGGAUUCAAUUUUUGGAGCUCAUAAUUGGUCUGCUCAGAGACUGAAUUUCUUCCUGGUUCAGUCUUGAGAGAGUAUAUGUGUCCAGGAAUUUAUUAAUCUCUUCUAGGGUUUCUAGUUUGUGUGUAUAGAGGUGCUCGUAGUAGUUACUGGUUGUUAUUUUUUUUUCUCUGGGGUCAGUGGUAACAUUCCCUUCAUCAU
This 528-nucleotide long non-coding RNA is filed under the name Homo sapiens (human). Its description in RNAcentral is "non-protein coding LINC01410:5". The record is from RNAcentral. Lineage: Eukaryota; Metazoa; Chordata; Mammalia; Primates; Hominidae.